Molecule: long non-coding RNA, 2733 nt
Organism: Limulus polyphemus (Atlantic horseshoe crab)
Lineage: Eukaryota; Metazoa; Arthropoda; Merostomata; Xiphosura; Limulidae
Exons: 4
Source: RefSeq, a predicted model, not a curated record
ACUUCUCCUUAAUGCUAAAUGGCAGAGUGACGAAUGUGUCUAGUUCAACUAGAUCAGAUGGGUGAAAUUGGGGGCAUAUCAUCUGCUGAUGGCGCCCCCAUAAAUCGCCAAAAAAAAAAUAUAUUGUUUAGAUGGCAAAGAGGAAGAUCGAUAAAUGACUAAGUGUCAGUGGAGAUUAACUGUAACUGCACAUACAUCAUAUGAUGGUUCCUGAUGUUCAUGAUAACUCCUGUAAGAAAAGUCAACACAUUUUCAAAUGAUACAACAACAUUAACUUCAACAGGAACCUUCUUGUGACUCCAUCCAAAACAUUUGCAUUUCAAUCAAACAUUACACUUUCCAACCUCGCACAUGCAACUGAGACUAAGGUAAGCAUGACUUUCAAACAUUCUUCCAGUGUAUAUUGACUAAUUUGGAACUAAAAAUAAAUUUCUAUAGGUAAAUUACUUUGAAAAAAGCAAUGGACUUUCACCAAAAUCUUGUCAUGAAGGAGGUAAGAACUUGUUUACAAAUGAAGAUUUCACUACAAGAGAAGAACUGAUGAGCACAAUUUCUAUUGUUUAAAAGCUAUAAACUGUCAUUGAAAAUAAAUGUUAGUGCUUUUUAUUUUUUCUAGAUCUUGCAGUGAUCAAAAUAGCCAUAAUUUCUGUAUGAUUGCCUUACAAUUUUAAGAUUAUAAAACAAAAUUGUGACUGAGGACUAAGUGAUUGGAUAUGCUGACUGACAAAGAUCAGGAAGAUGUGUUCAGAUCAAGGAUUUAGAAUUUUCACAACAGGGAUAUCCAUUGUACUUGGUGACAUUUGGAAAACAAAAAUAUGGAUUAACCUUGGGAACCAGGACCAUACAGAAAGACCUGCAACAAGUUGUACUCUAGCAGGGGGUAAGUUAAAUGUGGCACCUUGUAACAGGUGAACACAAAGGUCAGUGGCAAAAUCCAUUCACAUAUCCUAAGUAACCUUUGUAGAAUCUUCCUUCAACUGAAACAGUGUGAAUUCACUUUAUAAUAUUUUGAAAAUAGCUUUACCUUUGGUUAGAUUUAAUACAGAUUUAGAUUGCUAGUUCUUUAAGUGUGAAAAACAUAAAACUGUCAACUUUUUCUGUUUUCCAGCAAAAUUCCAUUAAUACUUAAAUUAUAUUGUUUCUAUUAUUGCACAGUUGUAGUGUAAUGACUGAAAUAGCCAAGAAUUUGCCAUUUCCUAGCUAGAAUAGAAUAUCUUUAUUUGUGUAUUUUUUUUUCUAAAUUUCCAAACAUAUGCUACAUAGCUAAAAGCUACAUACUGCAAAUUUUUACUUCAAGUCUUAAGCUAAAGGGUAUGUGUUUUUGUAUAGAUUUCUUGGAAUGUAGUCAGUUCAUUCAAACAGUAUGAAACCUGUAUAAUUGGCUUAGCUUAAGACUGUCUGUAAACUGCUGGUUGAAUUUUGUAACAUGUUAACCUGUGAGAUACUUUCUUUGUUUUGCCAAGAUAAUUAAGUUGGGAAUUUCCAUAGUUCUGACUCUUGGUUUUGCUUAAACCCCAGCAGCCAGGUGAUGCAGAAGAAGAACCCAGGCCAGUUUUAAUGAUAUAACACUAUUUGUUAAUAAUUUUGAUGUUGAAAACUACUUUUGUGUUUGCUCAUAUUCCCCAACUGUUUGUGUUCCUGAACCUGCAUUUUGUGUUGUCUUUUCUGCUGGAUAUCAGUUGACCUAAAUACCACAGUGAUUCAAACAACCUUUCACUGUGCCUGAGGCCCAGUAAUUACAAAAUUAUUGAUAUAGAAAGAAAAGGUGUCUAUAUAUCUAUCAGAUUUAGGAUGGCUUCCAAUAACAAAACACUGAUUAAUUGAUUACAUACAGUCCUUUUUUAUUUCUGAACAAAUUUAUUUGGUCAACACUAAAUAUUUAACACAACAUUUUUUUUGUGUCAGUUUUCUUUCUGCAUUUUAUGGAAAUAGGUAUCUUAAUAAAAAAAAAAUUUAUAUGAAAGAGGUGUUUUAGUAAAAGUCUUUACUUUGUUAUAAGAUGUAACUUUAACUAGAAUUUAAGUUUUGAAGUGUGAAUAUAUUAUCUAAAAUAUUAAAAUGAUCUGCAUAUUAUUUUGUGGCAGCUUGUAAGAAAUUGUGAUUAUUAAUAGAAAAACUUUCUAUAUCAUAAAUCUAUCGCGUAAAUAUUUUCUCAUUGGGAUAUGUGAUCUCUACUGAAUCACUUAGCUUUUUGUGUUCCAUUAAAUCAUGAUUAACAUUAGUGAAAUAAAACUUUUUUUCAUUCCGUUUAUUUUAUAAUAUGCAAAUUAAAUUAUUUGCAAACAGUGUUAUAUAUAUAAUAUAAUACUUGUACACAAGAUGGCCAAGGAAUAGUUACUGCUACUGAAUGUCAAAUGCAAGCUGUUAUGCUAUCAUAUAUACUUUAUAAUUUUAUUUAAUCUAUUUUCCUAUUACUCCAGAUUAAGUCAACUAACUCUAAGAAACAUUAUGGAAACACUCUUUUCUCAGCCUUUUAUUGUUAUUUCCACAAUUCAAAGUUUUUAGUACAUAAGAUAUUUUUGGUUAUAUUUCAGUUUCACUUUAAUUUAGAUUUUGUUUUUACAAUGGAAUGGAGAAAGCUUAAUGAGGCUGUAGAAAUUACAUCAUUAACAUUAUUCAUUACAGAGUAGAAUUUUCUACUCUGAUACUCAAAAUUUGGUUUAUUAAUAUACUUAAGUUUUUAAAGUAUGGUUGUGAUGUUUGAAUUAACAUUCUGCUACAAUAUACAUUUAC